Molecule: long non-coding RNA, 1087 nt
Filed under: Cyanistes caeruleus (blue tit)
Lineage: Eukaryota; Metazoa; Chordata; Aves; Passeriformes; Paridae
Description: lncRNA (ENSCCEG00000003169.1)
Source: RNAcentral
GGUGCUUCACACAUCAGGAGAUGGUGAAGUGAGGUGGCUGUGCUCUGAAGUCCCAGGGAGCCUGGAGUCUUACUCAGGCAGUCCAUUCGGAGCAGUACACCAAAAUGCAGGCUUUAAUACCCUGCAGAUCCUUGAUGGUGUAUUCCAGAAAGGACAAGAUCCUUUGGAAGGCUGCACAGUGAUAUCACCCACCUCCACAUUGAGAAGGAUCUGGGAGCCUGUUCCAAGAAGAUCUGGGGCUGCAGGCAGGACAAAUAAAGCUCUCACAUGCUUUUCAGCCAGGCAGCUGCAUGUAGUUCAGCAGGAAACUCUUUGUACUAUGUGACCAGGUCACAGACAUAAACAAAAGGGCACUGAGAGACUCAGUCAACAGCCGGUUCUCAUGUCCCUCUGUGUCAUACUCAUGUCUCUAAAAAUCAAAUGCUCUUAAGAGGAAUUUGACAUCAUACAUGCAUGCUGCAACACUUGCUAUAAAAGAAACAGUAAAACAUUCAAAAAAGUCACGCAGCUCCAGAAGUUUUACUGCUACUAAAACUAUAGCUGAAGACUACAUUUCCAGCAAGCAGCAGACUGGAUUUUAACCAUGCUGCUUAUACUACUCCCCCUGAAAUUUCUCUUAAAGAAAAUCCAGGAGAAGAGCUGAACUAGCCUUUGCCUUUUAAGAGAAAGAAACUGAAGAAAAAAGGUAAGGUUGAACAGUCACAUGAAAGAAGUGAGGAAAUGCCACUUCUGGAAAGGAUUUCACUUACCAUACUGGAUUUAGCUAUUCAACUGUUGUUGAAAAACACAGGUCAUUGAAUCCUCAUAAGGGUCUGAGAACAUUGGAAAGCAGGAAAAUUCCCUGUUAAAUGACAACGAUGUUCUGUGCAGAGCAUAGGAGCAGGGUCUCAGAAACCAUGAUGUCCAGCAUUACGGCUCAUUUGCCUUCACAGCACAACAAUGAAGGGAAGGAAACAGACUGGAAGAUCAUAGCUUGGAAGAGUCUGCUAAAGGCAUUAUAAAAUGUGUUGCCGUAAGACUGCAGUUCAGUUUAUCCAGGUUCGUAUUUCAUUCUUGCAGGAAUUCUUGUCUUCACCAUAGAAUGCAU